This 253-nucleotide ribosomal RNA is filed under the name uncultured bacterium. RNAcentral's name for it is "partial 16S ribosomal RNA". It matches the Rfam family "Bacterial small subunit ribosomal RNA", at positions 524 to 776 of the family's 1533-position model. The record is from RNAcentral.
UACAGAGGGUGCGAGCGUUGUCCGGAAUCACUGGGCGUAAAGGGCGCGUAGGCGGCCUGAUAAGUAGGGGGUGAAAUCCUGUAGCUUAACUGCAGGGCUGCCUCCUAAACUGUUGGGCUAGAGCACGGUAGAGGCAGAUGGAAUUCCCGGUGUAGCGGUGGAAUGCGUAGAGAUCGGGAAGAACAUCAGUGGCGAAGGCGGUCUGCUGGGCCGUAACUGACGCUGAGGAGCGAAAGCGUGGGGAGCGAACAGG